AGAGUUUGAUCCUGGCUCAGGACGAACGCUGGCGGCGCGCCUAACACAUGCAAGUCGAACGAGCGAGAGAGAGCUUGCUUUCUCGAGCGAGUGGCGAACGGGUGAGUAAUGCGUGAGGAACCUGCCUCAAAGAGGGGGACAACAGUUGGAAACGACUGCUAAUACCGCAUAAGCCCACGGGUCGGCAUCGACCAGAGGGAAAAGGAGCAAUCCGCUUUGAGAUGGCCUCGCGUCCGAUUAGCUAGUUGGUGAGGUAAUGGCCCACCAAGGCAACGAUCGGUAGCCGGACUGAGAGAUUGAACGGCCACAUUGGGACUGAGACACGGCCCAGACUCCUACGGGAGGCAGCAGUGGGGAAUAUUGCACAAUGGGGGAAACCCUGAUGCAGCGACGCCGCGUGGAGGAAGAAGGUCUUCGGAUUGUAAACUCCUGUUGUUGGGGAAGAUAAUGACGGUACCCAACAAGGAAGUGACGGCUAACUACGUGCCAGCAGCCGCGGUAAAACGUAGUCACAAGCGUUGUCCGGAAUUACUGGGUGUAAAGGGAGCGCGCGGGAAGACAGUUGGAAGUGAAAUCCAUGGGCUCAACUCAUGAACUGCUUUCAAAACUGUUUUUCUUGAGUAGUGCAGAGUAGGCGGAAUUCCCGGGUAGCGGUGGAAUGCGUAGAUAUCGGGAGGAACACCAGUGGGAAAGGGGCCUACUGGGCACCAACUGACGCUGAGGCUCGAAAGUGUGGUAGCAAACAGGAUUAAUACCCGGAGUCCACACCGUAAACGAUGAUUACUGUUGGGGGGAUUGACCCCCCUCAGUGCCGCAGUUAACACAAUAAGUAAUCCACCUGGGGAGUACGACCGCAAGGUUGAAACUCAAAGGAAUUGACGGGGGCCCGCACAAGCAGUGGAGUAUGUGGUUUAAUUCGACGCAACGCGAAGAACCUUACCAAGUCUUGACAUCCUGCGACGGUGCUGGAAACAGUACUUUCCUUCGGGACGCAGAGACAGGUGGUGCAUGGUUGUCGUCAGCUCGUGUCGUGAGGUGUUGGGUUAAGUCCCGCAACGAGCGCAACCCUUAUGGUCAGUUACUACGCAAGAGGACUCUGGCCAGACUGCCGUUGACAAAACGGAGGAAGGUGGGGAUGACGUCAAAUCAUCAUGCCCUUUAUGACUUGGGCUACACACGUACUACAAUGGCGUUAAACAAAGAGAAGCAAGACCGCGAGGUGGAGCAAAACUCAGAAACAACGUCCCAGUUCGGACUGCAGGCUGCAACUCGCCUGCACGAAGUCGGAAUUGCUAGUAAUCGUGGAUCAGCAUGCCACGGUGAAUACGUUCCCGGGCCUUGCACACACCGCCCGUCAAGGGCGAAUUCC
RNAcentral lists this ribosomal RNA (1369 nucleotides) under uncultured bacterium. Its description in RNAcentral is "bacterial SSU rRNA". It matches the Rfam family "Bacterial small subunit ribosomal RNA". The record is from RNAcentral.